Molecule: unclassified non-coding RNA, 240 nt
Filed under: soil metagenome
Description: partial contains 5.8S ribosomal RNA, internal transcribed spacer 2, and large subunit ribosomal RNA
Source: RNAcentral
AACAUCGCGCACCUGCGGGAACCUGCGGAGGGAUCAUUACUGAGUCACGUGCUCAAACAACCCUUCUGUGGACCUGAAAUAAAACCGUUGCCUCGGCGGGCGGUCCCCCAAGCAAACCCCACGUGGUGGGUUAGGGGACCAGACAGUCCGGCACGCUUAAGGCGUCCGGCGCCAGCCGCUGGCCCCAAACAAUUAAACUCUAGUAACCUUUACCUUCUGAGUUUCAAUAUUUAAAAAUAA